AACAAGAACAAAAUAACUAUUACAACAGCCAACAGCAAAACAGAAUAACUACUACAACAACUGAAAUUACAUUCCAAAACAAAGAUUGAAUCUUUUUCUGCUCAUCCCAUGUCUAAAUUCAAAAUAUCAGAUUAAUUUAGGCUGAAUUAUUGGUUUACCAGAGAUCAUUACAAGCCUUUGUCAUGAAACAUUUGAUUAGGCCAUGUUCCUGUAUCAAACAGGCCACUUAUUCCUCCUCUUUAAGCCCCAAAAAUGUCAUCUUCUUCUUGCUCCCAUAUCAGUGGUGGUGGAGAGAGUGGGCUCCAGGAAUUGUUGAUGCUCCUCUAAGGGAUUCACCAGAAAUUCUAUGCCAUCAGAUGUGCUUUCGAAUCCUGAAUGUCCUUCAUUUAACAGCUCGAGAAAUACUUCCCCGUUAUCAUUUUUCAUUUGGCCAAAGCUUCCCAACUCCUCAUUACUAUUGAUCCUAAUUCCAACAUGACUACAACUGGUAUCAGUAAGGUGUAUCUGAUCAUUCUGUGGAACCGGCUUCCCACAUUUAGGAAUUGAAAUAUAACAAUGGUUUGAGGAUACAUGAAAUGGAUAAUUUGCACAACCAAGGGAAGAUAAGCACAUGGAACCAUUGAGAUUCUUCUGAUUCUGAGCAUGGCUUCUGAAUCCUGGUUGACUUGUCUUCAACAAUUGUGGAUUCAGGAAUUGGGAAGUUUCUCUCUGUAGAUUGAAUGAUGAAAGAUGGUAAUCUCUGAGCAUGGUCUUUUUGAUUGCAUCUUGUUCCCGUUUCAAAUAAAGACGAUAUUUCUGGAAACAACAGCAUUUGUAAGAAAAUCAAUGAAAAAAGGCAUCAAACUUGAAAUCAAGAGAUGCCUGCACAUGCACAUCCUCCAGGAACAGGACACUGGAAGAACAAGAUUUUCAAGAAUUAUUAACAGCGAAAAAAACCUGCAAAUGGCUUGAAAUAUUUUCUUUCUUUAGCCCCGGGACAUUCAUAUGCUUAAGUAUUUUCCUUGGAUGAGCACCUAAAUUGAAAAAUAAGAUAAAAAAAGAGUUCAAAU
Molecule: unclassified non-coding RNA, 1049 nt
Filed under: Hevea brasiliensis (rubber tree)
Lineage: Eukaryota; Viridiplantae; Streptophyta; Magnoliopsida; Malpighiales; Euphorbiaceae
Source: RNAcentral